This 497-nucleotide ribosomal RNA is filed under the name uncultured bacterium. RNAcentral describes it as "partial 16S ribosomal RNA". It matches the Rfam family "Bacterial small subunit ribosomal RNA", at positions 28 to 507 of the family's 1533-position model. The record is from RNAcentral.
GACGAACGCUGGCGGCGUGCCUAAUACAUGCAAGUAGAACGCUGAAGAGAGGAGCUUGCUCUUCUUGGAUGAGUUGCGAACGGGUGAGUAACGCGUAGGUAACCUGCCUUGUAGCGGGGGAUAACUAUUGGAAACGAUAGCUAAUACCGCAUAACAAUGGAUGACACAUGUCAUUUAUUUGAAAGGGGCAAUUGCUCCACUACAAGAUGGACCUGCGUUGUAUUAGCUAGUAGGUGAGGUAAUGGCUCACCUAGGCGACGAUACAUAGCCGACCUGAAAGGGGGAUCGGCCACACUGGGACGGAGACACGGCCCAGAAUCCUACGGGAGGGAGCAGUAGGGAAUCUUCGGCAAAGGGGGCAACCCUGACCGAGCAACGCCGCGUGAGUGAAGAAGGUUGUCGGAUCGUAAAGCUCUGUUGUAAGUCAAGAACGGGUGUGAGAGUGGAAAGUUCACACUGUGACGGUAGCUUACCAGAAAGGGACGGCUAACUACGUG